GUUUGGAGCAGGUGACCAGGCCUGAGUCUCCCCGGCCGGGUGGCGAGACUCCCCGAGGACCCCGGUAGGCGCGGGGGUGGGGGAAUGCCCCAAGGUUUGCGCACCGUCCUCCCAGCCCUGAAUGCCCCAGGUCAGCCGUUCUCCCCGCUCACCGGCAUCAGUCGGGCAGGCUGUGGGGAGGCAGGGUUUGGCGCGCUCUGAGGAUGCAGUCAUCAAGACAGAGCUGCCCAGCAGUCGAGUGACUUCCGUUUGCACAGUGCUUUGGACAGCUUUCAGCGAGCGAAAUCUUCGCACGAACGUCGGAGGUUGAGACAGGUUAUGGUUCUCUCCGAAAUGAAGAAAAUGAGACCCAGAGAAGAGAAGGAUUUCUUCAAGGUCACAUGGUGAAUAUGUCACAGCCAGAACUAGAACUCAGGGCCCUUCCCAAACGGCUUGCUGGCCUUCCUGUUACACAUGGACCCCGAAGGUAAAUAAUGAUUGACUGGGGUCCUGUGUCCAGCAGUGUGGGAGGAGCUCCAUGCUGUUACUUAAUGUAAUCUCCAGCCCCCAGGGAGAUAGGUAUUAUGGAUAAUCCCAUUUUAUAGCUGUGGAGGGUGAGGCUCAGAGAGGGAAAGAACACCACCAAGGUCACACAGCCUGCAAGGGCUGGAAAGGACUUUGAUCCCAGGUGGAAAGGCUCUGAAGCCAGUGCUCUUACCCCAUUGGCCCUGACUCUCCUGUGGUCUUCCUCCCUGGCCUCAGUGGACUGCAGUCCUGUUGGGUGUGUCCCCUGCUGUCCUUUAAUCUCUACACUUGCCGGGCUCCGGGAAAGUUUCAGCCCUGAUGGAAUUACCUCCCGGGAGGCUGGAGACACGUCAGAGCUCCUGAGGUCCCCUGAUGUGACAUUUUGCUGAGGAAAAGCUCCCUUCCUGGAGCCAAAGAAUAUUCAUUGUCCAGGCACAGGAAAAACACACCACGUGUCCCCUGACAGUCCAAGGAUGAGUCCUGACUGUCUGGACACGCUCAGGGUGUACCCAUGGCCUUUGGGUGAACCAACUGCACCUUGUCUCCAGGUCAGAGGUAUAGUCGAGGGCCGUCUGUCUGCCUAGUGUCUGGGUCCAGCCGGAGGGCCGGAGAUGGCAGUCCCGGGAGGCAAGGCCCAGGAUCCUGGCCGUGGAGUCACGUGAUUGCCCCGCAGGCUGCUGUGAGGUUGAGGGGGCGUGAGCCCUGGAAUCCGCGGGGGUGUCUGAAGCGUGUUGAACACAACUGUCAGGUUCAGAACGGAACUCGCCACACAGCUGCAGCACGGACUGGGAAGGGCCCUCAGUGGGCCAGCCCUGGGGCAGCUUGAGGGCCCGCCUGUGUCACAGCAGCACGUUUCCUCCCCUGGAGCUCAGACUCUCCGCUGCUCAAUGAAAGGACAGGCACCAGCACGGGAAACGUUAAUGCAGAUCACCAUUAAACAAUAUCAUGGAACAGGAGAACCCCCCCCUUUAUGGUCCUAUGAAACAGUUGGCAUGUAUAUUUACCUCUGUAUAUGUUGUGUGAAAAAUAGAGAAAUUUGU
Molecule: long non-coding RNA, 1544 nt
Organism: Neogale vison (American mink)
Lineage: Eukaryota; Metazoa; Chordata; Mammalia; Carnivora; Mustelidae
Exons: 3
Source: RefSeq, a predicted model, not a curated record